Molecule: long non-coding RNA, 1402 nt
Organism: Megalobrama amblycephala (Wuchang bream)
Lineage: Eukaryota; Metazoa; Chordata; Actinopteri; Cypriniformes; Xenocyprididae
Exons: 3
Source: RefSeq, a predicted model, not a curated record
UAAUUCAAUACUGUAAAUGUUAAGAAAUGCGUAGUUUAUUCCAUGCGCGCUGUCUCUUUUUUCAUGAACGAUGCCCCAUUCACAAAUGAAUCACUCUUUUGAGUCGAUUCUGUUCAAAGACUAGAUCAAACAAGUUAGUAAAGCUGUCUAAAUUGAUUCGCGAAUCAGUUUGAAUGAUUUGUUCAGUUCCUGCACGCGCUGAAUCGUCUGAAGCGGUUUCUCACUCGGAGCGGAUGAAGUGGCAGUGGACCUACAGUCAAUUAAAAGCAAAUCUGCAAAUGCAUCCAAUUGUUUCCCAGCGAUGAAGACCUUUAUUAGUUGAGCUGCGUAUGCUGUCUGUGAACAAUUCCACAGCAGGCAAAAGACAUCGUUCGCCAUAUACAAAUGCCAAUCUCUGCCAUCUACUGGACUAGAGUGUGAAACGCAAAAAAACAAACAAAAAAAAGCUGAGUUUUGCCUUUGUAUGUGCUGUCAUGUGGCAUUUAUGGCUGAUGUGAUUGGCUCAGGAUGGGUAACUGAGUUCAAAGAUGUCUUCAUGUACUUCUGCCACUGAGAUGAAUAAAAAUGCUAACAGAUAGCUUUCUUCAGGUAUUAUAGAUCUAUUUUUUAAAUGUCAAGUUAAAAGUAAAAACGUUUUUCAACGUGUCCUGUGUAAUCAGCCUAUAAGCUUUGUUAUUGUUUACUUUUCAAAGGCAAUUAAUAUUCUGUUCAUGUCCUAAUGUUCUGGGUUUGGCUUUUAAUCUAUCUCGUAUGGAUUCUGUAGGGCUUAUUUAAAUCAAUAAAUGGCUGCAAUUAUACGUGAGAGCCGAUUGCAGUUGAUUCACACCUUCCCCUCUGGGCUAUAUUUUAUACAGCAUUCACUCAUUUAGUUUCAUUGUCUACAGAAAGCACACUGCUUUCCCUCACAUCAAAUGGCAUUUUCAUCUCAUUGCUGACAACAUCAGCACGGUGACUCCUGUGGGCCUGGCCACCGUUCUUCAAUGCAUAUUUCAUCCCAGAAAGAUUGUUGGCUGGUAAUCCAUUUUCCAUUUUUAUGGAUACACUUAAAAUCAGAUCACUAUUUGCAUGAGUUAUGAUAUGCCAUAAAAGCUGAAAAUCUCAUACAUACAAAAUGACACAAACAUCUGCUUUCACUAACAAACAAAACUCACAUCCAACCCAAACCAACCCCAGCUGGUCGAUCUGACAAAUAAGAUUUGAUUUGAGAAAUAGUUCAAUGUUUUUAUAUAUUGUGUUUUUUUUUUCAAUAGCUGUGUGCCAAUACAGACUGCUAUCAAACCUACUGAAGCAUGUGUCUCUAAUUAACCUCCAUUACCCUCUGUUUGUAAAGCUACUGCAUCUGUCAAAUCCUUAAAACAUGCUUCUCUUUGAUUGGACUCAACGUAAACCUUGAAUACAUCCA